Molecule: ribosomal RNA, 500 nt
Filed under: uncultured bacterium
Lineage: Bacteria
Description: partial 16S ribosomal RNA
Rfam family: Bacterial small subunit ribosomal RNA
Source: RNAcentral
GUUGAACGCUGGCGGCAUGCCUUACACAUGCAAGUCGAACGGCAGCACGGGAGCAAUCCUGGUGGCGAGUGGCGAACGGGUGAGUAAUGUAUCGGAACGUACCUUUCAGUGGGGGAUAACGUAGCGAAAGUUACGCUAAUACCGCAUAUUCUGUGAGCAGGAAAGCAGGGGAUCGCAAGACCUUGCGCUGAUUGAGCGGUCGAUAACAGAUUAGGUAGUUGGUGAGGUAGAGGCUCACCAAGGCGACGAUCUGUAGCGGGUCUGAGAGGAUGAUCCGCCACACUGGAACGGCGACACGGUCCAGCCUCCUACGGGAGGCAGCAGUGGGGAAUUUUGGACAAUGGGGGCAACCCUGAUCCCGCCAUGCCGCGUGAGUGAAGAAGGCCUUCGGGUUGUAAAGCUCUUUCGGCCGGGAAGAAAUCGCAUGGGUUAAUACCCUGUGUGGAUGACGGUACCGGAAUAAGAAGCACCGGCUAACUACGUGCCAGCCGCCGCUGUAA